CCUACGGGAGGCAGCAGUGAGGAAUAUUGGUCAAUGGGCGAGAGGCUGAACCAGCCAAGUCGCGUGAGGGAAGAAUGUCCUAUGGAUUGUACACCUCUUUUGUCAGGGAGCAAAGUCACCCACGUGUGGGUGUUUGAGAGUACCUGAAGAAAAAGCAUCGGCUAACUCCGUGCCAGCAGCCGCGGUAAUACGGAGGAUGCGAGCGUUAUCCGGAUUUAUGGGGUUUAAGGGGUGCGUAGGCGGGUUAUCAAGUCAGCGGUAAAAUCGUGGAGCUAAACUCCAUCCAGCCGUUGAAACUGAUGAUCUUGAGUGGGCGAGAGGUAUGCGGAAUGCGUGGUGUAGCGGUGAAAUGCAUAGAUAUCACGCAGAACUCCGAUUGCGAAGGCAGCAUACCGGCGCUCAACUGACGCUGAGGCACGAAAGCGUGGGGAUCGAACAGGAUUAGAUACCCGGGUAGUC
This 459-nucleotide ribosomal RNA is filed under the name uncultured bacterium. Its description in RNAcentral is "partial 16S ribosomal RNA". It matches the Rfam family "Bacterial small subunit ribosomal RNA", at positions 338 to 795 of the family's 1533-position model. The record is from RNAcentral.